AGAGCGAACGCUGGCGGCAGGCCUAACACAUGCAAGUCGAGCGCCCGUAGCAAUACGGGAGCGGCAGACGGGAUAGUAACACGUGGGAACGCGCCCUUCGGUUCGGAAUAACUCAGGGAAACUUGAGCUAAUACCGAAUACGCCCUUACGGGGAAAGAUUUAUUGCCGAAGGAACGGCCCGCGUCCGAUUAGCUAGUUGGUGAGGUAAUGGCUCACCAAGGCUACGAUCGGUAGCUGGUCUGAGAGGAUGACCAGCAUCACUGGGACUGAGACACGGCCCAGACUCCUACGGGAGGCAGCAGUGGGGAAUAUUGGACAAUGGGCGCAAGCCUGAUCCAGCCAUGCCGCGUGGAUGAUGAGGGCCUUAGGGUUGUAAAGUCCGUUUUAACGGGGAAGAUAAUGACGGUACCGUAGAAUAAGCCCCGGCUAACGUUCGUGCCAGCAGCCGC
RNAcentral lists this ribosomal RNA (449 nucleotides) under uncultured bacterium. RNAcentral's name for it is "SSU rRNA". It matches the Rfam family "Bacterial small subunit ribosomal RNA", at positions 26 to 518 of the family's 1533-position model. The record is from RNAcentral.